GCUGGGAAUGUGGCUCCGUGGUAGAGACCUGGCCUCGCAGGUGCGUGGCCUGGGUUCAAUCCCCAGCCCGGCA
This 73-nucleotide transfer RNA is filed under the name Marmota monax (woodchuck). RNAcentral's name for it is "tRNA.Ala". Lineage: Eukaryota; Metazoa; Chordata; Mammalia; Rodentia; Sciuridae. The record is from RNAcentral.